UUUAGGGAGCCUGAGAGACGGCUACCACAUCUAAGGAAGGCAGCAGGCGCGCAAAUUACCCAAUUCUAACAGUUUGAGAGAGGUAGUAACAAGAAAUAACAAUACAAGGCAGUUAAAAUGCUUUGUAAUUGGAAUGAUAGAAAUUUAAACCCUUUUUAAAGUAUCAAUUGGAGGGCAAGUCUGGUGCCAGCAGCCGCGGUAAUUCCAGCUCCAAUAGCGUAUAUUAAAAUUGUUGCAGUUAAAAAGCUCGUAGUUGAAGUUCUGCUGAAAGUAACCGGUCUGCUUUUAAUAAAAGUGGUAUCUUGGUAUGUAUUUAGCAAUGAUGUCCUUUGAAGUGUUUUUUACUUUAUUGUAAUAAAGCAUAUUCAGGACUUUUACUUUGAGAAAAUUAGAGUGUUUCUAGCAGGCUAACGCUUUGAAUACUGCAGCAUGGAAUAAUAAGAUAGGAUUUUAGUUCUACAUUAUUGGUUUAAGACGCUUAAAGUAAGAUAGCU
Molecule: ribosomal RNA, 494 nt
Filed under: Hepatozoon canis
Lineage: Eukaryota; Apicomplexa; Hepatozoidae
Description: SSU rRNA
Rfam family: Eukaryotic small subunit ribosomal RNA
Source: RNAcentral